This 1426-nucleotide ribosomal RNA is filed under the name uncultured organism. RNAcentral's name for it is "SSU rRNA". It matches the Rfam family "Bacterial small subunit ribosomal RNA". The record is from RNAcentral.
UGCAAGUCGAGGGGCAGCAUGGCCUUUGAAUGCUAAGGCCGAUGGCGACCGGCGCACGGGUGAGUAACACGUAUCCAACCUGCCGUCUACUCUUGGACAGCCUUCUGAAAGGAAGAUUAAUACAAGAUGGCAUCAUGAGUCCGCAUGUUCACAUGAUUAAAGGUAUUCCGGUAGACGAUGGGGAUGCGUUCCAUUAGAUAGUAGGCGGGGUAACGGCCCACCUAGUCUUCGAUGGAUAGGGGUUCUGAGAGGAAGGUCCCCCACAUUGGAACUGAGACACGGUCCAAACUCCUACGGGAGGCAGCAGUGAGGAAUAUUGGUCAAUGGGCGAGAGCCUGAACCAGCCAAGUAGCGUGAAGGAUGACUGCCCUAUGGGUUGUAAACUUCUUUUAUAAAGGAAUAAAGUCGGGUAUGCAUACCCGUUUGCAUGUACUUUAUGAAUAAGGAUCGGCUAACUCCGUGCCAGCAGCCGCGGUAAUACGGAGGAUCCGAGCGUUAUCCGGAUUUAUUGGGUUUAAAGGGAGCGUAGAUGGAUGUUUAAGUCAGUUGUGAAAGUUUGCGGCUCAACCGUAAAAUUGCAGUUGAUACUGGAUAUCUUGAGUGCAGUUGAGGCAGGCGGAAUUCGUGGUGUAGCGGUGAAAUGCUUAGAUAUCACGAAGAACUCCGAUUGCGAAGGCAGCCUGCUAAGCUGCAACUGACAUUGAGGCUCGAAAGUGUGGGUAUCAAACAGGAUUAGAUACCCUGGUAGUCCACACGGUAAACGAUGAAUACUCGCUGUUUGCGAUAUACGGCAAGCGGCCAAGCGAAAGCGUUAAGUAUUCCACCUGGGGAGUACGCCGGCAACGGUGAAACUCAAAGGAAUUGACGGUGGCCCGCACAGGCGGAGGAACAUGUGGUUUAAUUCGAUGAUACGCGAGGAACCUUACCCGGGCUUAAAUUGCAGAUGAAUUACGGUGAAAGCCGUAAGCCGCAAGGCAUCUGUGAAGGUGCUGCAUGGUUGUCGUCAGCUCGUGCCGUGAGGUGUCGGCUUAAGUGCCAUAACGAGCGCAACCCUUGUUGUCAGUUACUAACAGGUUCCGCUGAGGACUCUGACAAGACUGCCAUCGUAAGAUGUGAGGAAGGUGGGGAUGACGUCAAAUCAGCACGGCCCUUACGUCCGGGGCUACACACGUGUUACAAUGGGGGGUACAGAGGGCCGCUACCACGCGAGUGGAUGCCAAUCCCCAAAACCUCUCUCAGUUCGGACUGGAGUCUGCAACCCGACUCCACGAAGCUGGAUUCGCUAGUAAUCGCGCAUCAGCCACGGCGCGGUGAAUACGUUCCCGGGCCUUGUACACACCGCCCGUCAAGCCAUGGGAGCCGGGGGUACCUGAAGUGCGUAACCGCGAGGAGCGCCCUAGGGUAAAACUGGUGACUGGGGCUAAGA